Molecule: ribosomal RNA, 151 nt
Filed under: Leptogium sp.
Lineage: Eukaryota; Fungi; Ascomycota; Lecanoromycetes; Peltigerales; Collemataceae
Description: 5.8S ribosomal RNA
Rfam family: 5.8S ribosomal RNA
About the family: 5.8S ribosomal RNA (5.8S rRNA) is a component of the large subunit of the eukaryotic ribosome.
Source: RNAcentral
CUUUCAGCAACGGAUCUCUUGGUUCCGGCAUCGAUGAAGAACGCAGCGAAAUGCGAUAAGUAAUGUGAAUUGCAGAAUCCAGUGAACCAUCGAAUCUUUGAACGCACAUUGCGCCCCCUGGUAUUCCGGGGGGCAUGCCCGUCCGAGCGUC